GACGAACGCUGGCGGCGUGCCUAAUACAUGCAAGUGGGACGCAAGAGAACACACUGUGCUUGCACACCGUGUUUUCUUGAGUCGCGAACGGGUGAGUAACGCGUAGGUAACCUGCCUAUUAGCGGGGGAUAACUAUUGGAAACGAUAGCUAAUACCGCAUAAUAUUAAUUAUUGCAUGAUAAUUGAUUGCAAGAUGCAAGCGCAUCACUAGUAGAUGGACCUGCGUUGUAUUAGCUAGUUGGUAAGGUAAGAGCUUACCAAGGCGACGAUACAUAGCCGACCUGAGAGGGUGAUCGGCCACACUGGGACUGAGACACGGCCCAGACUCCUACGGGAGGCAGCAGUAGGGAAUCUUCGGCAAUGGACGAAAGUCUGACCGAGCAACGCCGCGUGAGUGAAGAAGGUUUUCGGAUCGUAAAGCUCUGUUGUAAGUCAAGAACGUGUGUGAGAGUGGAAAG
Molecule: ribosomal RNA, 458 nt
Filed under: Streptococcus mutans
Lineage: Bacteria; Bacillati; Bacillota; Bacilli; Lactobacillales; Streptococcaceae
Description: bacterial SSU rRNA
Rfam family: Bacterial small subunit ribosomal RNA
Source: RNAcentral